RNAcentral lists this ribosomal RNA (820 nucleotides) under uncultured marine archaeon. RNAcentral describes it as "bacterial SSU rRNA". It matches the Rfam family "Archaeal small subunit ribosomal RNA", at positions 47 to 873 of the family's 1478-position model. The record is from RNAcentral.
AGACAUGCGAGUCAUUGUAGUAAUACAAGGCAGACGGCUCAGUAACGCGUAGUCAACCUAACCUAUGGACGGGAAUAACCUCGGGAAACUGAGUAUAAUGCCCGAUAGAACAUUAUGCCUGGAAUGGUUUAUGUUCCAAAUGAUUUAUCGCCGUAGGAUGGGACUGCGGCCUAUCAGUUUGUUGGUGAGGUAAUGGCCCACCAAGACUAUUACAGGUACGGGCUCUGAGAGGAGUAGCCCGGAGAUGGGUACUGAGACACGGACCCAGGCCCUAUGGGGCGCAGCAGGCGAGAAAACUUUGCAAUGUGCGAAAGCACGACAAGGUUAAUCCGAGUGGUUUCUGCUAAAGGAACCUUUUGACAGUCCUAGAAACACUGUUGAAUAAGGGGUGGGCAAGUUCUGGUGUCAGCCGCCGCGGUAAAACCAGCACCUCAAGUGGUCAGGAUGAUUAUUGGGCCUAAAGCAUCCGUAGCCGGCUCUGUAAGUUUUCGGUUAAAUCUGUACGCUCAACGUACAGGCUGCCGGGAAUACUGCAAAGCUAGGGAGUGGGGGAGGUAGACGGUACUCGGUAGGAAGGGGUAAAAUCCUUUGAUCUAUUGAUGACCACCUGUGGCGAAGGCGGUCUACCAGAACACGUCCGACGGUGAGGGAUGAAAGCUGGGGGAGCAAACCGGAUUAGAUACCCGGGUAGUCCCAGCUGUAAACCAUGCAAACUCAGUGAUGCAUUGGCUUGUGGCCAAUGCAGUGCUGCAGGAAAGCCGUUAAGUUUGCCGCCUGGGAAGUACGUACGCAAGUAUGAAACUUAAAGGAAUUGGCGGGG